This 12407-nucleotide long non-coding RNA is filed under the name Homo sapiens (human). Its description in RNAcentral is "long non-coding RNA NONHSAT222955.1". Lineage: Eukaryota; Metazoa; Chordata; Mammalia; Primates; Hominidae. The record is from RNAcentral.
CCGCCUCCCAGGUUCAAGCGAUUCUCGUGCCUCAGCCUCCUGAGUAGCUGGGAUUACAGGCUCCUGCCACCACGCCUGGCUGAUUUUUGUAUUUUUAGUAGAGACGGGGUUUUGCCAUGUUGGCCAGGCUGGUCUCAAACUCCUGACCUCAGGUGAUCUGCCCACCUGGGCCUCCCAAAGUGCUGGGAUUGCAGACGUGAGCCACCACGCCCAGCUGAUAUCUUACAUAUUUAACUGCUGCAUAAUAUUCCACAGAAACCAUGCUUUUCAAGAUAUUCCUGCCUAUAUCAUUGUGUUAUUUCUUCCACCAGGGCGCAGCAGUCUGGAAAUAGAAACAAUGGUGGUGGAUCAAUUCAAUUGAUCCAGAUUUGGAAGUUGCGUGGCAAGUGAGAAGGAUUUGGAUGGUAAUGGUGAGAAAGGAUUUGAAAUAAUUUAUCAAACCUGGUUCAGAUCAAUCCUGGUGCAUAAGUGACUAACAAGGAGCUGGAGUGGAUGGCAUAGCAUAGUGGCUAGAACCCUAAAACAAGGGAUUUUACAUGAAAGUGGAAAGGUAACUGUUUGGUUUUGCAUUUACCCAUUCCCUCUGUUGAGUUUUUUUUUUUUAAUACUGAGUUAUUCACUACUUUGUCUUCUUUUUUUUUGAGACAGAGUCUCAUUCUGUUGCUCAGGCUAGAGUACAGUGGCAAUCUCGGCUCACUGCAGUCUCUACCUCCUGGGUUCCAGUGAUUCUUGUUCCUCAACCUUCUGAGUAGCUGGGAUUACAGAUGCCCACUACCAUGCCCAGCUAAUUUUUGUGUUUUUAUUAGAGAUGGGGUUUCACCAUGUUGACCAGGCUGAUCUCGAACUCCUGACCUCAAGUAACCCACCCACCUCAGCCUCCCAAAGUGCUGGGAUUACAGGCGUAAGCCACUGCACCUGGCCUGCUUUGCCUUCUUAAACAGAUGAUUCAGAACAUAAUAUAACCUUGUCUUGUGACUCAGGGUGGCCAUUAUGAUCAUCUGCUUUUGACCUGGACCUCUGAGGCAUGUAGCAAUAUGUCUUUCCUUAUGUCUUUUCCCUAAGUGUGUUCCGGAUUUUUGUGCUUUUGAAGAAGUUCUGAGAUCAACGUAUUCUUGGUUCUUCUAAUGUGUAGCUGUUUGACUAAGGACUGACUCCAUGCAUCUCCUAUGAAGUGAAGUUCAUGGGUUUUAUGACAGCAAUUUUACAUGCUGCUUAGAUGCUUUUUUCUCAUCUAGGUUUUUAGUUAUAUUAUGGCAGAGAUUAUAAGAAAUCUGAUCUCUAGAGAAGUGCUGGUACUUCUUUAAUUUGGCAUAGACUAUUUUUGGCAAGCUAGUUUUCUAGCAUUGAACACUUUAAUGAAUAAGUUCAUAGUCACCCUAUCCACAUUCUUUUUAAUGGUAGAAAACUGUCUGUCUAAUACAGUAGCCAUUAGCUACAUGUAGAUUUUUAAAUUUAAAUAUACAUUAAUUAAGAGUAGGCUGGGCAUGGUGGUUCAUGCCUGUAAUCCCAGCACUUCAGAAGGCCAAAGUGGGUGGAUCAUUUGAGGUCAGGAGUUCAAGACCAGCCUGGCCAACAUGGUGAAACCCCGUUUCCACUAAAAAUACAAAAAUUAGCUGGGCGUGGUGGUACACACCUGUAAUCCCAGCUACUCGGGAGGCUGAGGCAGGAGAAUUCCUUGAACCCAGGAGGCAGAGGUUUGCAGUAGCCGAAAUCCGCCACUGCACUUCAACCUGGGUGACAGAGCAAGACUCCAUCUCAAAAAAAAAAAAAGAAAGAAAAAAUUCCCUUAUUGUACUAGCCACAUUUCAAGUGCUUAGUAGUCACAUGUGGCUACUGGCUACCCUAUUGGAAAGUGCAGAUGUAGAACACUUUCAUCAUCAAAUAAAGUUCUAUAGAGCAGCAAUGGUUUAGACAUUGAGCCAGUCUCUUCUCAGGCUUCUUGUUUCCAAACUAGAGUCUCAUGGUUUAAGUGCAUCCUUGUACAAGCAACCAUGCUCAUACUAUUCUCCAACACUCUCUGAUUUCCAACCCCUGAUCAUUGUCAUUUGCUCUCUAUUAGUAUUAAUUUCCUAUGGCUACUAUAACAAAUCAUCACAAGUUUAGUGGCUUAAAACAACAUAAAUUUAUUAUCACAUAUGACAUAGUUUUGAUAUUUGUCCCCUUCAAAUCUCAUGUUGAAAUGUGACCCCUAAUGUUGGAGGUGGAGCCCACUGGGAGGUGUUUAGGUUAUGGGGGUUGAUCCCUCUUGAAUAGCUUGGUGCUGUCCCCAUGAUAAUGAAUGAGUUCUCACUCUAUUAGUUUACAGGAGAUCUAGUUGUUUACAAGUACAUAGCAUGCCUCCCCUCUCUCUAUCACUCCCCCCUCACCAUGUGACAUGCCUGCUCACCCUUUGCCAUCUGCCAUGAUUAGAAGCUUCCUGAGGUUCUCACCAGAAGCAGAUGCUGGCAUCAUGCUGCUUGCUGCUUAUACAGCCUGCAGAACUGUGAGGCAAAUCAACCUCUUUUAUUUAUAAAUUACCCAGUCUCAGGUGUUCCUUUAUAGCCACACAAAACCAACUAAGGCAAUACAGUUUUGGAGAUUGAAGUUCAAAAUCAGCCAUUUUCCAGCUUCUAGAUGCUGCCUACAUUCCUUAGUUCAUAGCUCCUUCCUCCGUCUUCAAAGCCUGCAGCGUAGCAUCUUCAAGUCUCUCUGUGACUCUCUGACCUCCGCCUCCAUAGUCACGUGACCUUCUCUGACUCUGACCUUCCUGCCUCUUUUAUGAAGAGUCCGUAAUAAAGAUUAGGUCGCCUUGGCUAAUCCAGAGCAAUCAUCUCAUUUCAAGAAUAUUAACUUAAUCACACCUGCAAAGUCCCUUUCAGCAUUUUACCAUUAUGUUAUACCGGUAUGUUGUGAGGACCACUAUUCAGCCUGCCACAGACAGUUUUCUACAGUGGCAUUUUGUUUUCCUGUGAUGGACAGUGAUCCAGUGGUCCUUAUUUUCCAGGACCAGAGUAUGCUGGUCCAGCACAGAGUAUGCUGAUAUCCCAAGGUUUUAUAUAAAGGGAGGAUAAUGUUUUAAAAUCUUAUUUUCUGUGAGAAAACAUUUUAAAUGGUCCAUUUUCAAGGUAUGAUAAAUCUAAGUACUGGCAGCCAGCCUGCGGACGUGACAAACCGCACAGCUCAUGCACCUAGAAAGUCGCAAUAAGCAAACAGAAUGUAGAGGAGGAGUCAGCCUAUAAAAGGGAAGAAAAAGUUUACAGAGUUAUUGGAAAAUCGAAACUUAAGCAGGGAAGGGGACUGGGUUAUAACCUUAUAAGGGAUAAUGAAACUUAGGUGACGUCCAGAAAGAUUGUAACCCCACAGUAUUUGACCAAUGAGGAACUGGGGGAGGGACUUGCGUGCUAGGAGAUAAAUUACCUGCUGUAGCUGCCCCAGCUGUGCCUGCCUACCAGACACCCAUUCUUGCACGAUCACCAUUAAAAUUCUCUCUUCCAUUGUUCUUUUGUGUCUCUGAGUCCAUUCUUUGGGUUUGGACAGAUGAAUGUGUUUCUCACAAACUUGGGGGCCCAUCUGGGAUCUCUGUGCCUGCGUGGAGUUGGACUCCAGCCAAGAGGGGAGAGGCGUCCCACCUGAUUUAAGUGGCCUGCUCUGUCUGGGAAUCCCGGCUCCCUGCAGAGGCCAUAGACAAACCUGAGACUGUUAUUCAGGAGGCAGUGGAGGUGACACAGGGAGAAAAGCAGGCACCGUGGCAACCAGGCAACCUCAUGUACGAGCCAAGGUAGGAAAAUUGGACUGUGAGUAUUGUCUUGGUGGUUGGGCAUUUUUGGAGGUCGAGUGUGUGUGACUGAGACGUAUCCUAGGUAUGAAGCAAGUGUGGAGACCCAAUUUGCGGUUCUGUUCUCUCGCGAGGGGAACAGCCAGAGACGGAUGAAAUGAUUCUCGGUGUGUGCAAGAAACCUCUAGUGGGGGGCUUGAGUACACAGGGAAAAACUCAGACACAGAUUGACGAAAAUGGGAAACAGAAAUUCUAGGCCUAGGGGACAAAGGAAAGAGGGAGCCAAAGAGACUCCCUCUGACAUUCCCCCGGAUAGUCCUUUAAGGAGAAUGCUGCAGGUUUGGAGGGACAACCCUUGAACCAGGGACAAGGAAAAGGAAAAGAUGAUAAAGUAUUGCUGUUUUACCUGUCCCAAAGACCCCAUUCGCAAGCCUUCAGUCUUUUGAUUUAAGUUUGGCUCAGAUGAGAACUGGGUGUGCCAAGCUUUAAUUCUCUAUGUGAAUGAUAAAACCCCAUUCUAGGCCGGGCACGGUGGCUUACGCCUGUGGUCCCAGCACUUUGGGAGGCCGAGGUGGGUGGAUCACGAUGUCAGGAGAUCGAGACCAUCCUGGCUAACACAAUGAAACCCCAUCUCUACUAAAAAUACAAAAAAUUAGCCAGGUGUGGUGGUGGGCGCCUGUAGUCCCAGCUACUUGGGAGGCUGAGGCAGGAGAAUGGCGUGAACCCGGGAGGCGGAGCUUGCAGUGAGCUGAGAUCGCACCACUGCACUCCAGCCUGGGCGACAGAGCAAGACUCCACUAAAACAAAACAAAACAAAAUAAAACAAAACAAAAAACAAAAACCAUCCUCACAAGAAGAGAUAGGUUAUGCUCUCUGCUGGAUCAAAGAAUUAACCCCCACGUUCCCCAUCAAAGAAGAAGAAAAAGAGCCUAGUAAAAAGCUCUUGCCCAGUGAAAAGCCCUGGGACCCCCUAUCAUGCUUGCCCCUCCAUACAGCUCACAAAAUAGGGGACAGGAAGAUCAAGGGGGCAACAGGAGGGUUAGAGGAAGAAAGACCUGGAGACCAUGGGGGAACCAAACCAAUUGCUCCUUUAAGUCCUCAUCCAAAUUUAAGAAAAAGAACAGUGUAAGAGGGAUAUUAAGAACUUCCUUAUCCUGUCCACACAGCAGGCAUCUAGCAUGCUCCCUCUUAGAGAAGUUCCCAUGGGACAGGGAGAGACUGGCUUUGUAAAUGCUCCUCUUACAAGUUCUGAAGUUAGGAAUUUCAAGAAGGAAAUGAAACCACGCCUAGAAGAUCCCCUCGGUUUAGCAGACCAGCUGGACCAAUUCCUAGGAACCAGCUUUUACACCUGGGCUGAAAUGAUGUCUAUCAUGAAUAUUCUGUUCACAGGAGAAGAAAGGGGAAUGAUUAGGAGAGCAGCCAUGACCAUCUGGGAGAGGCAACACCCUCCCAGGCAAGGAGUCUUGCCAACCAAACAAAAAUUUCCAAAUGUCGAUCCUAAAUGGGAUAAUAAUGAUCCCAGGGACUGGACCCAAAUGCAGGACCUCAGGGAACUAAUAAUUAAAGGGAUCAAAGAGUCCACUCCUAGGACACAAAAUGUCUCAAAGGCAUUCAAGAUUCAACAAGAAAAUGAGGAAACUCCCUCUGCAUUCCUGCAGAGGUUCCUGAGAAAAUACUCUAGAUUAGAUCUGGAGGACCCAGUAGGGCAAGGCCUUUUGAAGGUUAACUUUGUAACUAAGAGCUGGCCUGACAUUACAAAAAAAUUACAAAAGAGUAAUGAAUGGAAUGAGAAACCAGUUGAAGAAUUACUGAGGGAAGCUCAGAAGGUCUUUGUAAGGAGAGAGGAAGAGAAGCAGAAACAAAAAGCGAGAAUCAUGGUUUCCACUGUGGAAAAGGUAGUCAGAAGAAGGUUAGAUCAAGAUCCCUCUUGAAGGAAACAAUGGGAUAAUAGAUUUUGACACAGAGGAAGAAGGGAAAAGCUCCUAAGACUAUGAGUUGAUGUUACAAGUGCGGAAAACCAGGGCAUUUUAAGAGAGAAUGUCCUGAAUGGAAAAAAGAAGAAAAAAUGAUCCCCUUCAUGACGGUUGAUGAAGACAAGGGGGGCCAGGGGUUCCUUCUGAGUAGGACCCUCCAGGAACCGCUGAUAAAUGUGAAGGUGGGACCCGAGGGAGAAGAAGUGACAGUUUUGGUUGAUACUGGGGUGGCUUGCUCCUCCCUAAUUCACCAACCAAGGGGUACAGAAGUCUCUAAGAAAAAAUUGACAGUAUCGGGGUAAAAGGGGAGGGAUUUCAGGUUCUGAUAUUCAAGGAAAUGUUAAUUAGAUUGGGACCUGAACAAAUUGAGGUGUGACUCUUAUAUGUUCCUGAAGCAGGAACUAACCUCCUUGGUCAAGACCUGAUUGUGAGAUUGGGUUUAGGAUUAGGAAUAGAGGAAGGACAAAUAAAAGUAAUGAUGGGCCUCCUAACAAAGCAAGAGGAAAGAAAAAUUAAUCCCCUUGUGUGGAUUAGGGAAGGCAACAGGGGAGGGUUAAAAAUCACACCCUUACAGAUUAAACUAAAACAACCAGGAGAAGUAGUUUUCAGAAAACAGGCCAGGCACAGUGGCUCACGCCUGUAAUCCCAGCAUUUUGGGAGACUGAGGUGGGCGUAUCAUGAGGUCAAGAGAUCGAGACCAUCCUGACCAACAUGGUGAAACCCCGUCUCUACUAAAAAUACAAAAAUUAUCUCGGCAUGGUGGCACACACCUGUAGCCCCGGCUUCUCAGGAGGCUGAGGCAGGAGAAUCACUUGAACCUAGGAGGCGGAGGUUGCAGUGAGCUGAGAUCAUGUCACUGCACUUCAGCCUGGCAACAGAGUGAGACUCCGUUUCAAAAAAAAAAAAAGAAAGAAAAAAGAAAGAAAAAGAAAACAAUAUCCCAUUUCUACUGAAGGGAGAAAAGAUCUCCAACUGGUAAUAGAGGGAUUGAUUAAAGAUGGACUAUUAGAACCCUGCAUGUCACUAUACAAUACUCCAAUUUUCCCAGUCAAAAAGCCUGAUGGGUUCUAUAGAUUGGUGCAAGAUCUAGGGACUAUGAAUCAAAUUGUCCAGACCCACCAUCCUGUGGCACCUAACCCCUACGCCCUCCUUAAUAAGAUACUCUAUGAACAUAAGUGAUUCAGUGUGGUGGGUCUAAAAGAUGUAUUCUGGGCAUGUCCCCUAGAUCUUAGGAGCAGGGACCUCUUUGUCUUUGAAUAAGAAAAUCCUAUAACUGGGAGAAAACAACAGGACUGCUAGACUGUGCUGCCACAAGGUUUCAUGGCAGCCCCAAAUGUAUUUGGUCAAAUAAUAGAAAAAGUCCGGGAGGAAUUCCAACCUUCCAGGGGAACCCAGUCAUUACAAUAUGUAGAUAAUCUUUUAAUUUCUGGGGAGAGGAGGGCCGAGGUAUCAGAAACCACCAUAAGCUUGCUUAAUUUCCUAGGAGAAAGGGGAUUGCAAGUCUCUAAGAACAAAUUGCAGUUUGUAGAAAAAGAAGUUAAAUAUUUAGGACACCUGAUUAGUGAAGGGAAGUGGAGAAUAAACCCAGAGAGAAUAUCUGGAAUAGUGGGCCUGCCUUUGCCUAAGACAGAGAGAACUCCGAAAAUUUUUAGGUUCAACUGGCUACUGCAGGUUGUGAAUUGACUCAUAUGCUCAAAAGACAAAAAUUCUGUAUCUCAAGUUACUAGAAGAGGAACCCGAUCCCAUGCAAUGAUCCCCAUAGGAAAUUCAGGUAGUGAAAGAGCUAAAGCAGGCCCUCAUUACUGCCCCGGUCCUGGCCCUCCCAUCUUUAGAGAAACCAUUCCAUCUGUUUGUAACAGUAGACCAGAGUUUGGCCUUGGAGUGCUCACUCAUACCGGGGGAGGGAAGAGGCAACCUGUUGCUUUUGUCUCCAAGCUUCUUGAGCCUGUCUCUCGGGGGUGGCCUGAAUGUGUGCAAGCAGUAGCUGCCACAGCCCUGCUGGUAGAGUCAAAAGCUAACUUUGGUGGGGCCCUAAUAGUAAGCACCCACACCAAGUCAGGAAUAUAUUAAAUCAAAAAGCCAGGAGGUGGUUAAUGGAUUCUUGGAUUCAAAAAUAUGAAGCCAUGUCACUAGAAAAAGAUAAUUUGGCUGUAACAACAGAUACUUGCCUGAAUCCAGCCAGUUUCCUAUGGAAAGGAGAGAAGAACAAAGAGACAUCAGACCAUAACUGCUUAGAUAUCAUAGAAUACCAAAUCAAAGUUAGACCAGACCUUAAGGAAGCUCCACUACAUGAUGGGAUAAGGCUGUUUGUGGAUGAGUUUUCCCAAGUGACAAAUGGCAAGAGACAUAAUGGUUAUGCUGUUAUUGGUGGAAAUAGUUAACCAAGUAAUGACCCUAAAAGGGUAGAAAUAAUUGAGGUAAAGGAUUUAAGGCAAACUUUAGAAAUUGAGACAGGGUACAGGGAUGUGAAUGCCUGGUUCAAAUUUUCAGUACAAGCCCUCAACAAGAGUAAUUGCUGGCUGGGCGCAGUGGCUCACGCCUGUAAUCCCAACACUUUGGGAGGCUGGGGCAGGCAGAUCACGAGGUCAGGAGAUCGAGACCAUCCUGGCUAACACAGUGAAACCCCGUCCCUACUAAAAAUACAAAAAAUUAGCCAGGCGUGGUGGCACGUGCCUGUAAUCAUAGCUACUCGUGAGGAUGAGGCUGAGGCUGAGGCAGGAGAAUCGCUUGAACCCGGGAGGCGGAGUUUACAGUGAGCCGAGAUCAUGCCACCGCACUCCAGCCUGGGUGACAGAGCGAGAGUCCGUCUCAAAAAAGAAAGUAAUUGCUAUGUGCGUGCUGCGGGACGACCUCAGGCCCAGGUGAUUCCAUUUCCCCUAGGAUGGGAUACCGAUCCUGAAGGCAUGCAUUGCAUGUUGGCUCUAUACCAGGACAAAGAUGCAUGGGAAAUGAGACUUGUAAGAGCCUGUCAUUGUUCUUUCCUGCAUUGUGGUGGUCAGAUCCCAGAGCAAUCCCCUCAUUCUCUAUAGGGAAUAUGAACCACUCCUCUUGUCUCUCUAGGCAGGGGGCAGAGUUCAAUAAGCCCGUGGGAGAACUCUCGUACUUGUACCCACAUCCUAAUUGUCACUGCUGAGUCAGGCAAUGGCAAUUACUCAGCUCUCCAUAUACUCUGGGCUGUUGUCUGGUGGUAUUGUGGGAAAGGGGACCUCCAUAACCUGUUAGUUACUGUCCAACUGGACCAGGACUUGUGCUUUAGUCCAAUUGGCCAUUCCUUUCACCCUGGCAUUCCAUAAGAUACCCGAAAAUACACAUGGCCACCAAAACCAGACAGAUUUGACAAAUUCUUUUGAUCCCAAUAUAUAUAUUGACUCGACAGGAGUCCCCAAGGGGGUGCCUAAUGAAUUUAAGGCCUGAAGCCAAAUAGCUGCUGGGUUUGAGUCAGCACUCUUUUGGUGAUCAAUUAUUAAUAAGAAUGUGGAUUGGAUUAACUAUAUCUGUUAUAAUCAACAGAGAUUCAUCAAUUGUACUCAGGACGCCCUCAAAGAGGUGGCUAGCGAGUUUGAUGCCACCAGCCAAAUGGCCUGGGAAACAGACUUGUGCUAGACAUGAUACUAGCAGAAAAAGGGGGUGUAUGUGUUAUGCUAGAUGGGAAAUGUUGUACUUUCAUUCCCAACAAUAUUGCCCCAGAUGGGACCAUCACCAAAGUUUUACAAGGACUGACAACUGUAGCCAAUAAACUGGCAGAAAAUGCUGGAAUUGACCCAUUUACAGACUGGCUAGAAGGUUGGUUUGGAAAAUGGAAAGACAUGGUAGCUUCAAUCCUUACAUCUCUCAUAAUUGUGGCAGGAGUCUUAACAGCAGUGGGAUGUUGUAUUAUCCCUUGUGUGAAGGGAGUAGCACAGAGAUUAAUUGAAACAGCUAUUAAUAAACAAAUGCCAAUGACUUACCAGCAAAAUAACCUGCUACUAUUAGAAACCAAAUUAAACUCACUCUCCUAUAAGGAAGAAAGUAGACAACUUCUAGAGUGAUUGGAGGACCAAAAGGGUUUAGAUGAAAAUGAGACCAAAGGAAGUAAAUAAAAAAGAGGAGGGAAUUUGUGAGAAAACAUUUUACAUGGUCAAUUUUCAAGGCAUGAUAAAUCUAUGUACUGGCAACCAGCCUGUGGACAUGACAAACCACAUGGCUCAUGUACCUAGAAAGUCAUGAUAAGGAAACAGAAUGUAGAGCAGGGGUCAGCCCAUAAAAGGGAAGAAAGUUUUGUUAUUGGGAAAUCGAAAUGUAAGUGGGGUAGGGGACUGGGGUAUAAUCUUAUAAAAGAUAAUGAAACUUAGGUGAUAUCUGGGACUAUUGUAACCCCAUAGUACUUGACCAAUGAGGAACUGGGGGAGGGACUUGCAUGCAAGAGAUAAAUUACCUGCUGUAACUGCCCCAGGUGUGCCUGCCUACCAGACACCCGAUUUUGUAAGACCGCCAUUAAAAGUCUCGCUUCCACUGUUCUUCGUGUCUCUGAGUCUAUUCUUUGGGUUUGGACGGGUGAAUGUGUUUCUCACAUUUUCUGCCUUUCGCCUAUAUGGAAAUACCAAAAUAUGAUUGUUCUGACCUUCAAAAUAUGAUUCUGUGAGUAUAGUGGUAUAGGAGUAUCUUAUCAGCAAGACAAAUCCACAGCUAACUCAAUAUCCUAUCAGAGUGUUUGGCUACUGUAAUACAGUUAUUUCAGGGCUAAUCUCUGCCAACUUUUCUUCUCAAACACACACACACACACACACACACACACACACACACACACACACACAUAGGGAUAUGGAUGCACCCAUAAACAAAAAACUGGGGGCUCGAUAUAUUAACCAAAGCAAAGCCUUCUGAGCUUCUCUUUGCCCCCCAAAAAAGGAUGAUAAAUGAAAGUCUGAAUCAUUCCUAGGAGAAGAAGCAGCAGACACCAAUGCAGGAUUGGUCUUCCACUUCCAGUCUGGACAAGAUAGCAUAGACUCAUUUCUCCCUGCUUCUCCCAGGUAAGCCCAACCAGAAAUCCUGGAAAUAAUUCAAGAGGUGGCCACAGGAGAAUUCUAAAAGGUGUAAAGGGGAAGGCAGAACGAUUAGGAAUCCCAGGACUGGAGGAACACCAUAGUAGCAGGGUACCUUAUGACUCUCAAGCCAUAAAUGUGACCCAGGCCCAGCAUUUCCCAAACCCCAACGUAGCAAUAGAAAAUGGUUCCUGUAGGUUCCUUUCUCCUCUGCAUUGAAUGGGAGUCCUACUGACACCAACAGGUAAGCCUGGCAACUCCAGCAAGUGGGAUUUAGCAAGGUGCCUCACUGACAAUAAGCAGCCAGCAGAAGUGCUGUCCUUUCCCACAAGGUCAGAGACUCCCCUACCCCACUGAAAGAUACUCUCCAAGCAAGCACACCAUCAAGGGGAAACGUGACCAUGACAAGUAGCCUAGCCCAGGAAGCCUGUUUGUUUUCAUGGUCUUGAGGCUUCUCUCUUCCUCUGAGAGAUACCAGGAAGGCAGGCAGCAAAGUCAGGGGAGUCCCACCAGAACCAGCAGAGACAAGGAAGAUUCUUUGUUUCCACAGACUAGAAAAAUCACUUCCCCCACCUAGAGGCACCAGGCAACCCUAUCUGAGGAACACUCUGCUUCCUCAGGCAGCACCAGCAGGGAAGAGUGGACCCAUUAGCACCACAUGAAUCAAGCAGAUCAAAAUAGCACUACAGAGGCUCUGAAACUAAAUUGUCAUUGGAAUCACAGCCUUCAAAAGUAGGCCAGGACCUGCAUGCUAAACCUAAACAAACUGACUGCCUGCUAAAAUCAAAUAUUUAAGUAGGAAUUAGAGUCUUCUAAUAUAAUAGUCAACAUAUCCAGAAUAUGAUAAAAAUCACCCUAAAACAAUCAACUGAUACCAACACCAAGAUGAAUUAGAUGUUGAAAUUAUCUGACAAGGGAUUUAAUGUAGCCACCACAAAAAUGCUUUAAUAAGUAAUUGCAAAGUCUCUUGAAAUAAAUGGAAAAAAUAUAAAAUCUUAGCAUAGCAAUAGAAGUUAUACAAAAGAAUCAAAUAUACUCCAGGCCAGUCUGACAUGGUACAUUCAGUCUCUGAUUAAGAACGUGGAGUAGGGCAAGGACAAGUUAAGAUGGGAAAUACAUGUGUGGUUCUGUGAUGGAGCUGCAGCUGAAUUAUUUCAUCACAAGGGGCUCUUAUGUUAUCAAAGGACACAGACCUGAACCUUGACUGAGUAGUUUUCUGAGGGGCAUUGAGCACUUCCUGGGGAGUCCAGAAUUGGGAAACUUGGUUUUGACCUUCAUGUGGCUGUGUGACUAUCUCUUAUCUGCCUCUUUCUGGGAAUAGGAACUACUUCAAAUCCAGGAAGGGAGGCUGGUCAAAUACAAAUAACAAUAAACAGCCCAAUGGCAACCCUUCCUUGCAGUGAGUACUUACUGUGUGCCAAACACUGAACUAGAUCUCUUUGUGAUCAUCCAUUCAUGGAAUCCUCACAGCAGCCCUCCACUAAGGGCAUUUUUGAGAUCUCAGGUUUAAUUGGGUUAAAGUUCCCUCAGUAGACACCUGGGGUAUCUACCAGCCUACAAGGACCUGUGCCGGGUACAGGUAUAGGUGAUACUGUGAUGACACCCUUCAUAGACACAUGUGACUAGAGCUCACAGCAGGUGGGGGCAAGCAAGUUCCUG